GAUGAACGCUAGCUACAGGCUUAACACAUGCAAGUCGAGGGGAAACGAUGAGAGAGCUUGCUCUCUUAGGCGUCGACCGGCGCACGGGUGAGUAACGCGUAUCCAACCUACCCAUUACAGGGGGAUAACCUUGCGAAAGCAAGACUAAUACCCCAUGGCAUUUUAUGGUGGCAUCAUUAUAGGAUUAAAGAUUUAUUGGUAAUGGAUGGGGAUGCGUCUGAUUAGCUUGUUGGCGGGGUAACGGCCCACCAAGGCAACGAUCAGUAGGGGUUCUGAGAGGAAGGUCCCCCACAUUGGAACUGAGACACGGUCCAAACUCCUACGGGAGGCAGCAGUGAGGAAUAUUGGUCAAUGGGCGAGAGCUUGAACCAGCCAAGUAGCGUGCAGGAUGACGGCCCUAUGGGUUGUAAACUGCUUUUAUAGGGGAAUAAAGUGAGCUACGUGUAGUUUAUUGCAUGUACCCUAUGAAUAAGGACCGGCUAAUUCCGUG
Molecule: ribosomal RNA, 490 nt
Filed under: uncultured bacterium
Lineage: Bacteria
Description: partial 16S ribosomal RNA
Rfam family: Bacterial small subunit ribosomal RNA
Source: RNAcentral